GAUGAACGCUAGCUACAGGCUUAACACAUGCAAGUCGAGGGGCAGCAUGUCGGUUGCUUGCAACCGACGAUGGCGACCGGCGCACGGGUGAGUAACGCGUAUCCAACCUACCCUUGUCCAUCGGAUAACCCGUCGAAAGGCGGCCUAACACGAUAUGCGGUUCUCAGCAGGCAUCUAACGAGAACGAAAUGUGAAGGAGAAGGAUGGGGAUGCGUCUGAUUAGCUUGUUGGCGGGGUAACGGCCCACCAAGGCUACGAUCAGUAGGGGUUCUGAGAGGAAGGUCCCCCACAUUGGAACUGAGACACGGUCCAAACUCCUACGGGAGGCAGCAGUGAGGAAUAUUGGUCAAUGGACGGGAGUCUGAACCAGCCAAGUAGCGUGCAGGAUGACGGCCCUAUGGGUUGUAAACUGCUUUUAUAGGGGGAUAAAGUGUGCCACGUGUGGCAUAUUGCAGGUACCCUAUGAAUAAGGACCGGCUAAUUCCGUGCCAGCAGCCGACGG
RNAcentral lists this ribosomal RNA (502 nucleotides) under uncultured bacterium. RNAcentral describes it as "bacterial SSU rRNA". It matches the Rfam family "Bacterial small subunit ribosomal RNA", at positions 28 to 520 of the family's 1533-position model. The record is from RNAcentral.